GAUGAACGCUGGCGUCGUGCCUAAUACAUGCAAGUCGAGCGAACGGACGAGAAGCUUGCUUCUCUGAUGUUAGCGGCGGACGGGUGAGUAACACGUGGAUAACCUACCUAUAAGACUGGGAUAACUUCGGGAAACCGGAGCUAAUACCGGAUAAUAUUUUGAACCGCAUGGUUCAAAAGUGAAAGACGGUCUUGCUGUCACUUAUAGAUGGAUCCGCGCUGCAUUAGCUAGUUGGUAAGGUAACGGCUUACCAAGGCAACGAUGCAUAGCCGACCUGAGAGGCUGAUCGGCCACACUGGAACUGAGACACGGUCCAGACUCCUACGGGAGGCAGCAGUAGGGAAUCUUCCGCAAUGGGCGAAAGCCUGACGGAGCAACGCCGCGUGAGUGAUGAAGGUCUUCGGAUCGUAAAACUCUGUUAUUAGGGAAGAACAUAUGUGUAAGUAACUGUGCACAUCUUGACGGUAACUAAUCAGAAAGCCACGGCUAACUACGUG
This 497-nucleotide ribosomal RNA is filed under the name uncultured bacterium. RNAcentral describes it as "partial 16S ribosomal RNA". It matches the Rfam family "Bacterial small subunit ribosomal RNA", at positions 28 to 507 of the family's 1533-position model. The record is from RNAcentral.